This 1233-nucleotide long non-coding RNA is filed under the name Dendronephthya gigantea. RNAcentral's name for it is "uncharacterized LOC114533062, transcript variant X2". Lineage: Eukaryota; Metazoa; Cnidaria; Anthozoa; Malacalcyonacea; Nephtheidae. The record is from RNAcentral.
AGGCAUACGUUCUUCUGUAAUGUGAACUGGGAUCAUUUGUUGGCCAGAAAGACAGAGCCACCAUACAAACCCUCCACGAGCGGCAAAGAUGAUGUGAGUCAGUUUGAUACAAUAUUCACUGAACAAACACCGGUCGAUUCUUCUGACGACUCCUGCUUGAGUGAAGAUGGUUAUCAGAUAUUCUCCAGGUUCAGCUACGUUGCACCGUCCGUAUUUGAAGCAGUGGAUAAAGAUAUUUUGAAUUUACGACCUGUCAGAAACUCCCACGUAGCAGCAACCAGUCAGUUACAAGUCAAUAGUGAUACUGAAGCUAAAUUUGGGUUUGAAGACGUCUGGAAACCUAAUCGUCUUCCUAAUGGCAACACAACAGGGCAAAGUCCAGCGAGGAGGACGCUGCAGUUCACUCGAGAUGAAUGCAAAAAGAUUGAAACAGAUCAUAGUUCAAGUCCUGUCUUCACUGGGGCAAAGAUCCCCAAGAAUGACACGAUGCUGACACGAAUGAAGAAAUCCAUAGUCCGUGUUGCCAGUAGAUUGAGAGAAAUUUACGUUUAGGUUUAACGAUAAUGAACUGAACUCAAUUCAGAGUGGACAUACGUUGUUUUUACUCGUUUAGGAUUUGAACUUUUUGAAAGUCUGAAGUCAGAAUAAUAUAUGAAAGGGUUGAUUGUUGAAGGGUCAAUGUAUAAAGCAUAUAACUAUUUACCAAGACGCUUUUGCCGUUGUUUAUAUUAUAGUCCAAAAGCAGUGACGUCACAAAGCUCCUCCAGGAAUUUAAAUAGCUAAGUGAUUUAAAUAUUUAUCGAGCAAUGGACCACUUGCAUACUAGACCAACUUCAGAUCUAGGUGACAAGAAGGAAAUAAAUAAUCACAGCUAAAAAGAUUAGUAAAAUUGCCGAGUAUGGUUCGAAAAUCUAAAGUAGUACGGAAAAUAUAGCCAUAAGUCGUCCGGCUGCAAUACAAAAGUAUACAAAAUUCGCCAACUUAGCAUGGCUUUACUUCGGCACUUUACAAUAUUUCACAGCCAAACUUGGCAAUUUUACUAAGUUUUGUAUGCACUUUUCGGAAAUUUCCGCUUUGUCACCUAAAUCAAAGGUUGGUCUAUUAUGCAACUGGUCCAUUUCCAACCAAAAUUCCUAACUUUACCUGCUUGCUUAAAUACGAAAUAUAAAAACCGUGGUGCAAUAACCAAUUCGACUCAAUUUGACAUCGCCGAAUAAUUUAUUAAUUUGGCCA